RNAcentral lists this ribosomal RNA (497 nucleotides) under uncultured bacterium. RNAcentral describes it as "partial 16S ribosomal RNA". It matches the Rfam family "Bacterial small subunit ribosomal RNA", at positions 28 to 507 of the family's 1533-position model. The record is from RNAcentral.
GAUGAACGCUGGCGGCGUGCCUAAUACAUGCCAGUCGAGCGAACAGACGAGGAGCUUGCUCCUCUGACGUUAGCGGCGGACGGGUGAGUAACACGUGGAUAACCUACCUAUAAGACUGGGAUAACUUCGGGAAACCGGAGCUAAUACCGGAUAAUAUAUUGAACCGCAUGGUACAAUAGUGAAAGACGGUUUUGCUGUCACUUAUAGAUGGAUCCGCGCCGCAUUAGCUAGUUGGUAAGGUAACGGCUUACCAAGGCAACGAUGCGUAGCCGACCUGAGAGGGUGAUCGGCCACACUGGAACUGAGACACGGUCCAGACUCCUACGGGAGGCAGCAGUAGGGAAUCUUCCGCAAUGGGCGAAAGCUUGACGGAGCAACGCCGCGUGAGUGAUGAAGGUCUUCGGAUCGUAAAACUCUGUUAUUAGGGAAGAACAAAUGUGUAAGUAACUAUGCACGUCUUGACGGUACCUAAUCAGAAAGCCACGGCUAACUACGUG